UCGCGUUGGUCUUUUGCGCCAUUCUGAGAGUGGAGAUGCUUUUCUAGCUCUUUGGUUUGUUUCUCUCAGUUUUCUUGUGUUGAUUGUUGGACUCAUCGAUUUGGAUUUUGUUCUUGUUUUAAUUUCCGACGAAUCUGUUGCUGACGGAUUGGCGGAUUUACAACCCGUGCUGAACCUGUUUCACAGAGAGGAGAAUAAGGAUUGCAAUGCGCAUUGACUGAAGCCCACCGAGCAUCAACAUGUCUUUAUGAGGAUGGAGCUGUGGACACGAGUGGCAUCUUUUCCGUUUUAAACGCUUUACCUUGAGAGUUUUUGGUCCGAUAUCGACUGUUUUACUUCUAACAGACUGACAACAUUUCUUUUCAGUCCAGCCUGACAUGUUGGAAGGUAGAUCUUCUUUCCAGAAAACAAGGUAAUGGGAGAGAAAUCACACAGAGUCGGCACAGAGAACAAGGGGACAUUGUUCGGAAAAAGACAAUUAGGGCGCACCGAAAGGCAACAGAAAUAGCUCUUGGGUGGCGAUACAUGUCAGAAAAUUCGAUUCAGUGGAGUUAUAUUUGAGCAGAGGAGCACUGCUUUGGAAACAAGGAGGACUAAUGACAAAUUAAUGGGAAAGUCAUGGGAUUGGCACUGAAAUAGUAACGACCGUGGACGCGCAGAAAACCCGUCGUUUUUUGGAGAUCCAGACGCACGGAUUGAACAAGUUUCUCCUGCACGUUUCAGAGUCUGCUUUUGGUUUGAUCCAGUCCAUUUUUGAUGAAUUGCGGAUCCAUGAGGUUGUACACAGCGGGCUUUCACUCCACACUUUGACUGCCUCUACCUAUAGCCUGCUCGGCUGUAGUCGCACAUCCAUUGUUUUGAGAACCUCCUCGCCACAGCAUUGAAAGUAUUGCCCAUUUCUUUUCUUUUUUUUAAAUGUGGCUGCAUAUGCUGGGUGUCAGGGUUGAAAUGGCGUGUCGAGGAAGUGGGAUUGGAUUGUGGAUCCUGCUGAUAUUCUUACUGGAUUUACUGGGGACGGCGGCCAGCAAUAUGGAGCCUAUCUACUGGAAUUCUCUGAACGAAAGGGCUGGACAACCCCUGGGUCGAGCCGGGACUGCUG
Molecule: long non-coding RNA, 1099 nt
Filed under: Sander lucioperca (pikeperch)
Lineage: Eukaryota; Metazoa; Chordata; Actinopteri; Perciformes; Percidae
Description: lncRNA (ENSSLUG00000022981.1)
Source: RNAcentral